RNAcentral lists this unclassified non-coding RNA (590 nucleotides) under Melitaea cinxia (Glanville fritillary). RNAcentral describes it as "misc RNA ENSMCXG00005000653.1". The record is from RNAcentral. Lineage: Eukaryota; Metazoa; Arthropoda; Insecta; Lepidoptera; Nymphalidae.
UUUCUUCUUCUUUAAGUAUUUUUAUUUAAGUAAAUAUUUAAUUGUUUCUUUUUACUUAUUUUUUCUUCUUAUCUCGUACACUCGUGUACACACAAAUGUAAGUAGCUGUUACGACUUCUUAUUUCUCUUUGUAAAGGUAGCUAUUAUUGUCUGUUUAUAUUGUUAUUACUCUUAAAUAGUGUUAACGUGUUUUAGUUACUGGUGUUGGUUCUGCCAGAAAAACAGCGUUUAAAACAAUGCUGAGUCAGGAGCCAUUAGCCUUUUCUUUCUUUAUGCAUUUUUUUUACUGUUACCCAGAUUCGUUAACUAUAUGACAUAGCAUUGUUUUUAGUCUAUUUAUUAUUCCUUUCUUUUUGCUAUUUUUUUUGUUUGUUACCUAGUUAUGCAUCCACCCCACACCUCCGUCGUAGAUUAAUAUGUUAAUGUUUCGCUGAUUUAGUAUUGCCACCGGGCAGCUCAUAGAAUUAACCGUGAGACAAAAACAUGGAUAUUAAGCAAUUUUUGGACUUGUUUUGAAGAGACAUGAAUGUAAUAAUAUACUUUGUGAGAGUCAGAAAUAUAACAACCUUCAAAUCGGCAAUAUGUUUUUU